RNAcentral lists this ribosomal RNA (253 nucleotides) under uncultured bacterium. RNAcentral describes it as "partial 16S ribosomal RNA". It matches the Rfam family "Bacterial small subunit ribosomal RNA", at positions 524 to 776 of the family's 1533-position model. The record is from RNAcentral.
UACGUAGGGGGCAAGCGUUGUCCGGAAUCAUUGGGCGUAAAGAGCGUGUAGGCGGCCAGAUAAGUCCGCUGUGAAAUCUCGAGGCUCAACUUCGAGCUGUCGGUGGAAACUGUCUGGCUAGAGUCCGGAAGAGGAGAAUGGAAUUCCUGGUGUAGCGGUGAAAUGCGCAGAUAUCAGGAGGAACACCGGUGGCGAAGGCGGUUCUCUGGGCAUUACCUGACGCUGAGGAGCGAAAGUGUGGGGAGCGAACAGG